This 96-nucleotide Y RNA is filed under the name Mandrillus leucophaeus (drill). RNAcentral describes it as "Y RNA (ENSMLEG00000001673.1)". It matches the Rfam family "Y RNA". Rfam says of the family: Y RNAs are components of the Ro ribonucleoprotein particle (Ro RNP), in association with Ro60 and La proteins. The Y RNAs and Ro60 and La proteins are well conserved, but the function of the Ro RNP is not known. Lineage: Eukaryota; Metazoa; Chordata; Mammalia; Primates; Cercopithecidae. The record is from Rfam by way of RNAcentral.
GGCUGGUCUGAUGGUAGUGUAUUAUCAGAACUUAUUAACAUUGGUGUCACUAAAGUUAAUAUACAACCCCCAACUGCUAAAUUUGACUGGCUUUAA